UACGUAGGGUGCGAGCGUUGUCCGGAAUUAUUGGGCGUAAAGAGCUCGUAGGCGGUCUGUCGCGUCGGUCGUGAAAACUUGGGGCUUAACCCUGAGCUUGCGGUCGAUACGGGCAUGACUGGAGUUCGGUAGGGGAGACUGGAAUUCCUGGUGUAGCGGUGAAAUGCGCAGAUAUCAGGAGGAACACCCGUAGCGAAGGCGGCACUCUGGGCCGAUACUGACACUGAGGAGCGAAAGCGUGGGGAGCGAACAGG
RNAcentral lists this ribosomal RNA (254 nucleotides) under uncultured bacterium. Its description in RNAcentral is "partial 16S ribosomal RNA". It matches the Rfam family "Bacterial small subunit ribosomal RNA", at positions 524 to 776 of the family's 1533-position model. The record is from RNAcentral.